Molecule: transfer RNA, 108 nt
Organism: Candida tropicalis MYA-3404
Lineage: Eukaryota; Fungi; Ascomycota; Pichiomycetes; Serinales; Debaryomycetaceae
Rfam family: tRNA
About the family: Transfer RNA (tRNA) molecules are approximately 80 nucleotides in length. Their secondary structure includes four short double-helical elements and three loops (D, anti-codon, and T loops).
Source: Rfam
GUUCGCCUGGCGCAGUUGGUAGCGCUUCGUGCUUAUAGAUUUGAAAACUAUGCGAAAUGCACAGUCGUUGAGACGCGACGGUCGUGGGUUCGAUCCCCUCGGUGAACA